Tyto alba (common barn owl) is the source of this 5760-nucleotide long non-coding RNA. RefSeq lists it as uncharacterized. The record is from RefSeq and is a predicted model, not a curated record. NCBI's taxonomy places the organism in Eukaryota, Metazoa, Chordata, Aves, Strigiformes, Tytonidae. The transcript has 5 exons.
CUCCUGUCUGUGACACGCUUGAGUUUCUGCUAUUUCAGCAACAGUAUGCCUGAAACUCCCAAAGCCAGGAUAAUACGAAUGAGAGCGGUUUAAAACAAGCGAUUGAGGGGCUAAAUCGCUCUUUCAGACAUACACGGCUAAACCUCCCUUCACGGGAGGGCGGUGGUUUUUAAUCAUGCCUUAAAAUUCCUUAAAAGCAGGGGGUCUCCCCUCCGCGAGGGGCGGUCGGCAGAGUGCGUGCCUUAUGAAUAAACCGGCUAUUAGGCUGAUGCUUCAAGUAACACUAUCCAGCACCAAGUUUUUAUUUAAUGAAAAUAAAAAGCCACACCAACAUCUCGUUUCACCACGACUGAAUGAAGAUGUACCUUCUUGACCUGGAAGACAGUACAACGCUUGUUCCUUUGUGCCAGUCAUAUCCAAAAAAGAUGCUGAGAGGAGCCUACAAGAAGGAGCAUUGAUCUAAAGAACAAAGCAUUUAGGAGAUUACCAUAGCUCACAUAUUUAUAGAGAACAAUAUAUCCUGGUACAACUGUAUGCAAGACUUUUUUUCUUUACUGGAAAACAGCAUCUUGCAGUGUUUGGCAGGCUGGAAGUUACGUUCUCUAUAGUUGGCAGUGUGUGCAUGUGUGUGUGUGCUUGAAAGAGGAUAGAGGAUAUGUGUUCACAUGUGCACCUCCAUACCCUCUGCUAGGACUGCCUGGAAUAACCAGAGAAUUGAUGAAUCCAUUCUAAAAGCAAGAUAAGUGAUUUAAUUUCUUUUCAUCAUUGCUGACUGAUAAACUGUAACUUCAAUCCCAGGGAUUAGCAUUGCUUUUACAGGAUAGCUGUAUCAGAGAAUGCAAUAAAAAUUGUAGAAAGCAACUUUAAAAGGCUCUUGUUUUGAUGUACUUCCAGCUUGUAAAUAAAACCUACUUUCUUCAACUUUGCUGGAAAGACUUUAUUACUAUUAUCAGGUUAUCAAGAUCCAUUAUUUUCUUAUGAGGAAAGUAUUGCCCCAAGCAAUGUGGAGGCUAUUUAUGACUAACUACAUCCAUACCUUUUCAGUGUUUUUUGUACGUGUUACCAUGGUUGAGGUCCAUAUAAAUGCAAAUAAAUAUAAAGCUUGUAGCCACCAGCGCUGCUCCCCUGUAUAGGGAACACAGCUUUAUUUAGUAGGCUGGAAAUGACAGGUGGGCAGAGAAAAAUCUAGACUUGGUGUGAAUUGCUGAUUCCUUUGCUGACAUCUCUGGUGAUGUGCAGGUGGGGUAGUACCAGGUGGGGCAGAGCACAGCUUGCUUUCAUCUGGCUAUCCAAAAUAAGUGCAGUUCAUCUGCUCUGGGACAGACAGAAUUAAAACUAAGCAGAGACCAUCAGAAGUAAUAUCUUACUUUGGCUAUUUGUGUAUUAAAUAUAAAAAUUCUAAAGCCUGUUCUUUUAAGAGUUUUAAAUGUAUCAGUCAAUUUAAAAACACACCAUCCUCAUAUAGAUUUGGCCUAUGAUGAUACUAUAUCCUUCUGCUUGUAGGACAAUGCUCCUUAUUAUACUUCAUCACUAAGUUUCUUUUGUUCUCGUUUUGACAAAGCCAAAUCAAUGCAAUAGUGGCAGAACAGCUUUGGGUGCUGGCAUCAGUAUGACACAUAGCCCUUAGUCAGCAGAAAACAGGUCGUACCUCAGCUUCCACAACUGUCAUAAAGCUACUGAAAGCAGAUUUUGGGAAUCCCUGAGGGAAAUAAAACCAACACCCCUCAGUGCAAAGAAGGUCUCUGUUUAAAAUUACUCUCCAACCUUCCUGUUCUCUAAGUCUUAGGAAAAGAUUUCCUCGAAGUAGAGAGGAAGAGUCAGAGCAGAAGCAGAGAACUGAUGGCUGGCUGGCAGGGAGAGAGUGAGUGGACUGCCUGGAGGUGAGAGCAGCAGACUCCAUCCAGAUGAAGAAAUAAAUUAUGACUCUGAAGCAUAGCACAGGGUUUAUCAUAACAGGAGUGAAAGGGUAUAAAGACCUAAACUGUUUAUUUGUAUGAGAACAUAAUGGUCCUUGUUAUCGACUUGGUGUUGAAAGGAAUGACUUCCAUCUAGAGGAUGCAGAAAAAACACAAGAUAAAUUUCAGUACUAGUAACAGUUUAAUGGAAAAAGAUUGAAAAAGAGGAAGAAUAUGGAAAUUAGACAGGAAUGACAUUGUAAGAAUUUAAAUGUGACAUUUGGCAGCAGCUGUAUCGUUCAUGAAAAAAACACAGUGCUAAUCAACAUCAGAUGUAUUGUUAUUUUAAAAUAGACUUUAUUUAAUGACAAUAAAUAUAAAGAAAUCUUAAUAUUCAGAAACUAAUAGCAAACAUUAUUAGAAAAAAUACAAAAAAUACAUUCUUACAUUCUGAAUUUUAUCAACGUACACAGUCUUAAACAGUGGCAAUAGUCUGUAAUUUAUGGUGUUUGUUAAGGCAAUGAUAUAGUCACCGGUCAAAAUUCACCCUGACUUCAACAGAUCUGUACAAAGUAAGAGUCUGACCUACAUAUCAUGUGUAAAAAAGAGUUAAAUUGAUUCAUAGUUUAAAACAAAUGUUAAUUUUCCCUUCAAACAUAUCUUGAAAUAUUAUUAAAGUGACAUAGCCUAAAAAACGAAAGUUACAGAUACUCAUAUGUUGGGAACUGCUCCCCCUGCAUUUUGGUCUGAUGCCUCUGCAGAGCUCCCUGUGUACAAGCAGGGCACAUUUCAGCAGUUGGAAGUAGAGGCUACAGAAACUGCACAGCUUAAAUCAAACUAUUAAAAUGCAAUUAUUAGGCACUCUGUUGGUUUUCCUCUUCUGUCUCUCUCAUUCAGAACUGUGCUGUGAAUAACACUGUGCAUAUGGCAAACUGAACUGGUAUAAUGUUUUCUGAAAUGAAAUGUUGCAGCUACAUUAGCAAAGAGAGUGGCACUUCAGAAGGAAAUCACUAGAGCAAAAGGUUGAUUUCGACUAGGUGAUGCCCACGCAAUACUCACAGCUCUCUUCAGCCUAGCUCUGGUUUUAGCUCUCCAGACUAAGUGACUGUCAGAGACCAUUAAGUAUAUAUCUAAAACCUGCCUUCUGGUUCAGUUUAAACCAAGAGGAAUGCAGUCUAUGUGCCCAGAUACCAGUCUGUAAUGGGAAGCACUGCCCAGAAAGUAGGGACAAGUGGAAGACUAGUUUCAAAAGCACACUCCUGAUCCGAACAAAAAUGGUAAUGUAGAAACACACCUGAAGCUGAUUAGGAUUUUAUUACAGGAGUAGCCCAAGUCACAGAUAUACACACUUUGUUGAUGUAACAUUUUUUUAAAAAUCAUUAUUUUAAGGCAUGAACAUAAACUCUCGAUGACACUGAGGGCCAACUCCCCCUUUAGGAGAGGCUGCCAACUGGUGUAAAGGGGGCAGCUGAGGGAGGGCACAGGAACCAAACAAGGAGCAGAAGACCAGGCACUCCUGAAAAUCAGCCUUGAGCUCUGCCACUGUUCACAGUGUGACCCCAGGCAAGGCAAGAAAUUCCUUUGUUUCCUAGUUUUUUUACCUAUCAAAGAGGGCAAUAAAUGCUUCCUUAAGACCAAAUAAUCACCUGAAAUGGUCCAUUUAGUGUUGCAUUUCUUUUUCCUUUAUCACAGGAUGCCUCCUUGCCUGCCCCAGCCCUCCAACACUGCACCUGAAAAUGUAUUUAAGGUACACUGGCACUGUGAUUCCUGAUGGGGGUAUGAAAAUGGCAUCAGCUGAACACAACUGCAGAUGGGGAAGGGCCAGUUCAAAGCUAAACUCAGAAAGCUGUAAGUCUGAAAUGAGCUGACUGGCCUUUCUAACCAAACUAAUUUUGUGCCGGGGAGUCCUGAGUUCUUCACUAAAAUUGUUUCAUGAAACAGUUUUUUGGACAAAAACUUGUUUUAAACAGAAGUUUGGUACACUAUGCUGUGACAGGACCCAGAGUCAAUGGGCACAAACUUAAACACAGGAGGUUCCCUCAGAACAUUAAGAAACACUUCUUCACUGUGAGGGUGACUGAGCACUGGCACAGAGUACUUGGGGAGGUUGUGGAUUCUCCAUCCUUGAAGAUGUUCAAAAGCUGUCUGGUCCUGGACAGUCUGCUGUAGGUGGCCCUGCUUGAGCAGGGGAGUUGGACUAGAUGACCUCCAGAGGUCCCUUCCAACUCCAACCAUCCUAUGACCUGGGCAGAAGGUCAAACCAGUAUUGAGGGGACAUAUUUUGAUAAGAAAUUCUGUCUUGUUUAGAAACUUCUGAGUGUUCGUCCAUCUAUCUAAUUUAUAUUUGCUUCCUGGUAAAUUAAAGACUUGCUGUGAUUCUGAUGAAACCAAAACAAAUGGCAAAGGGCAGAAUUCCCUGUGCAAACAAGCGCUGGUUCCAUUGCUGCUCUGAUUGUCAUUUAUCAUUGCAGUCUGUCUUGUUUUUCUAUACUGCAUCUUUUUUUGUCUUCAGGUGCUCAAAGUUUUCUGGGCAUUAUAAUAAGUAAACUUCAGUCCUUCAGUGUCAGAAAUGCAAGUGGUUCUCUGGAAUAUGUGAGCUUUUUUCUUUAAUCUUUCCUUGAUUUUUGAACCAAGUUUUCCUCUCAACAUUCUUCCACGCGAUCAUGCCCAGUCUUGCUGAGUGAAAGCUUGUGUAUUGACUGCGGAAAGGACUCCCCUCGUGUUCUACCUCUUCCAGUUUAAAAGUUGCCAUUUCAAAGGAUAAGCUUGAGGUAUAUAGCAGUCAGUAUUUGGAAGUUUUGCUACAAAAUUCAGAUAUUUGACUCCUUCUGAUUAUUAAUGGGAUAAAAUACAUCUUACAAAAGUUGCUUAGUUUCUGCACAUGAGUUUCUUAAUAUGUAAAAAACCUAUAUGAAUAAUCUGCCUAAAAAUUCUGCAUAUCUAUUACAUUUAAGAAGAGUACAAAAUUACAAAUGCAAGAAUAAUCACCUGGUUUACAGAGUAUAAGCCUACUUCUGCUUUUUAAACAUGAUUUUGGUUCUUAGAAUUUGUAGAAAUUGGUCCACUAAAACUGUUAAAAGAGAAAGCAAGUUAAUAAUCUGGCAUAUCAGUGAUGCAGACAGAAAGCGGAGUUCUACAUGUGUGUUCAAUCUAUAAUUCCCUAACUCUCAGUUUGCAACUGGUGCCAAAAUAUCCAAGCAGACCUGCAGACUAAUUUGAAGAUGAUGGAUGUCUGUAGCACAUGCAUCCACAUCUGUAACAUCCUUCCUAGUUAUUUAAAGCUUCAUAACAAGGUUAAGGCAUAUUAAAUGGUUUAUUCCAGUCUCCAGUUUCAAUAAAUUCAUGGUCUUGUCAGAAUUCACUUUAUCAUGCAGUGUUGUAUCACAACAGGUCCAGCUGCAUGUUCUUCCUAUGUCAAAAUCUAUCAGGGAAGAGCACGGUGCCUCUGGUGUGGGAGAAAUGCAAAAAAGCCCUCCACAAAUAUUGAUUUAGUAUGUGAAAAGACUUUUAACACUCGUUACUGCUACAUGUAGGAGACCUUCAAGGCUAUGGUCAUUCAGAGCAGAGUGGGCAAGUGAACAAAUGAAAGUACAUUGACUGGAGAAAGAUAAAAUGCCCGAGUUUUCUAGUCACCCAGAGUGCUGUAAAGUCAGUUUGCAUGCAUCGAUUUCAAAGACAAUUCUCCUGUUUACACAGAGAUUGAUGAACAGGAUGGGCUUACAGUCCUGAUGCUUCUUGUGAUCCAAGUCUGUGAUUAAUUAAACUAUGUUGUUAUCUAUUUAAGUCUCAGAAUGCAUAGCUAAUUCAGUGUAGCACACAAUAGUGCUUAGUAUGUCAAUUCCAAUGGCUUAACAACAUGAUUUUG